RNAcentral lists this ribosomal RNA (497 nucleotides) under uncultured bacterium. Its description in RNAcentral is "partial 16S ribosomal RNA". It matches the Rfam family "Bacterial small subunit ribosomal RNA", at positions 28 to 507 of the family's 1533-position model. The record is from RNAcentral.
GAUGAACGCUGGCGGCGUGCCUAAUACAUGCAAGUCGAGCGAACAGACGAGGAGCUUGCUCCUCUGACGUUAGCGGCGGACGGGUGAGUAACACGUGGAUAACCUACCUAUAAGACUGGGAUAACUUCGGGAAACCGGAGCUAAUACCGGAUAAUAUAUUGAACCGCAUGGUUCAAUAGUGAAAGACGGUUUUGCUGUCACUUAUAGAUGGAUCCGCGCCGCAUUAGCUAGUUGGUAAGGUAACGGCUUACCAAGGCAACGAUGCGUAGCCGACCUGAGAGGGUGAUCGGCCACACGGGAACUGAGACACGGUCCAGACUCCGACGGGAGGCAGCAGUAGGGAAUCUUCCGCAAUGGGCGAAAGCCUGACGGAGCAACGCCGCGGGAGUGAUGAAGGUCUUCUGAUCGUAAAACUCUGUUAUUAGGGAAGAACAAAUGUGUAAGUAACUAUGCACGUCUUGACGGUACCUAAUCAGAAAGCCACGGCUAACUACGUG